AGUGAACGCUGGCGGCAGGCCUAACACAUGCAAGUCGAACGGCAGCACAGUAAGAGCUUGCUCUUACGGGUGGCGAGUGGCGGACGGGUGAGGAAUACAUCGGAAUCUACUUUUUCGUGGGGGAUAACGUAGGGAAACCUACGCUAAUACCGCAUACGACCUACGGGUGAAAGCAGGGGAUCUUCGCACCUUGCGUGAUUGAAUGAGCCGAUGUCGGAUUAGCUAGUUGGCGGGGUAAAGGCCCACCAAGGCGACGAUCCGUAGCUGGUCUGAGAGGAUGGUCAGCCACAUGGGAGGUUGGACGGGGUCCAUGGUCCUGCGGUAGGGAGCAGUGGGGAAUAUGGGGCAAUGGGCGGGAGCCUGAUACAGCCAGAGCGAGUCGGAGAAGGAGGCGUUCGGGUUGUGAAGACCGUUUGUUGGGAGAGAAAAGCAGCAGGUUAAUACGCAGCUGUACUGACGGUACCCGAAGAAUAAGCACCGGCUAACUUCGUG
RNAcentral lists this ribosomal RNA (492 nucleotides) under uncultured bacterium. RNAcentral describes it as "partial 16S ribosomal RNA". It matches the Rfam family "Bacterial small subunit ribosomal RNA", at positions 30 to 507 of the family's 1533-position model. The record is from RNAcentral.